Molecule: ribosomal RNA, 449 nt
Filed under: uncultured bacterium
Lineage: Bacteria
Description: partial 16S ribosomal RNA
Rfam family: Bacterial small subunit ribosomal RNA
Source: RNAcentral
AACGAACGCUGGCGGCAUGCCUAACACAUGCAAGUCGAACGAGAUCUUCGGGUCUAGUGGCGCACGGGUGCGUAACGCGUGGGAAUCUGCCCUUUGGUUCGGAAUAACAGUUGGAAACGACUGCUAAUACCGGAUGAUGACGAAAGUCCAAAGAUUUAUCGCCAGAGGAUGAGCCCGCGUAGGAUUAGCUAGUUGGUGUGGUAAAGGCGCACCAAGGCGACGAUCCUUAGCUGGUCUGAGAGGAUGAUCAGCCACACUGGGACUGAGACACGGCCCAGACUCCUACGGGAGGCAGCAGUGGGGAGUAUUGGACGAUGGGCGAAGGCCUGAUCCAGCAAUGCCGCGUGAGUGAUGAAGGCCUUAGGGUUGUAAAGCUCUUUUACCCGGGAUGAUAAUGACAGUACCGGGAGAAUAAGCUCCGGCUAACUCCGUGCCAGCCGCCGCCGUAA